UACGGGGGGAGCAAGCGUUGUUCGGAUUUACUGGGCGUAAAGGGCGCGUAGGCGGUCAGCACAAGUCAGUUGUGAAAUCUCCGAGCUUAACUCGGAAAGGUCAACUGAUACUGUGCGACUAGAGUGCAGAAGGGGCAACUGGAAUUCUCGGUGUAGCGGUGAAAUGCGUAGAUAUCGAGAGGAGCACCUGCGGCGAAGGCGGGUUGCUGGGCUGACACUGACGCUGAGGCGCGAAAGCUAGGGGAGCGAACGGG
This 254-nucleotide ribosomal RNA is filed under the name uncultured bacterium. Its description in RNAcentral is "partial 16S ribosomal RNA". It matches the Rfam family "Bacterial small subunit ribosomal RNA", at positions 524 to 776 of the family's 1533-position model. The record is from RNAcentral.